GUCAGCUUUCUCUCUUGUUUGAGUUUCCAGAUAUUGUCUUUGAUGGCCUUUAAAGGGAAGGCAUUGUCACAUUCGCUACAUUUGUAAGGUUUCUCUUCUGUAUGAAUUCACUGAUGAGCUCUAUGACUGCCAUUACAGCAAUGAAACACAAACCAAGACUGUCAUCAUGCUUGAUACUGUGUGAGCAGUGGUUUCGGCAAGAUGAGCAAGAGGAGUCCAGUGAAGGCUGGAGGGGUGACUUAGUUGAUAUGUGUGCUCCAUGUUUUUCUGGAGGAUCCAAGCUUAUCUGCCUGUAGCUACACUGGAUGGUUCAUCAUCACCUGUCUCCACAGCUUCCAUGAUGCUUACCUUCCCAAAGACUACAUGCUUGCCACUCAACAACCCCAUCUUGGCAGACUUGAAAAACUGGGAACUAUUUGUGUUUGGUACGACACUUGCCAUGAAGAAGAUAUCAAGACUCUACACUUCAGGAUGAAAUUCCUCAAAUUUCUCCCCAGUUGUCACCAGUGCCAUCAUGGUGUGUAAGGUGACCACCCUGGCACAUGCAUUCUGGAAUAAUUCUGUGAAAAGCAACCUCUUUUUUUUUUUUUUUUUUUAGCCAUUUCCUUUCUAUCUGAUGCUCAAAGCACAGUAGUUUUCUGCUGUCUUUGGAUCAUUUUCUGCCAAUGGCUCGGUGAUGUCUCCAAAGGGCUUGCCAUCAUGGUGUUUAAUAUGGUGCAGUUGACCAUGGAUGCCAGCAAGUAGCUACAGGGCAGAAAGCUUGGAUUUCUUAAAACAGACUUAUUCAACAUCACCAUCAUCAUCAUCAUCAUCAUCAUCAUCUAGUGUGUAUUCACACUCACACUCAUACAUGUAGGUACAGUGUGAAGGCCUGAAGUCUCAGGUCCUCUGUAAGAACAAGACUUCUUCACCACUGAGCCAUCUCUUUAGCCCUUCUGAACAUUUUUUUCUUGGGGAGUGGCAGUCCCAAUUAAUGUAGCUGGCCUCAAACUUAUGUUGCCCAGGCUGGUCUUAAAUUCAUGAGCCCCCUAUUUCAGCCUUCUAAAUGUUGAGAUUAGAGCUAUGUACCACCACAUUUGGCUUACUACAAACUCUUCUAGAUUGUUUUCUUUGCUGUGUGUAUGUGUGUGCAUAAAUGUUUGCAUGUGUGAGUGCAGUGUGUGUGUGCACACAUGUGCACAUGAGCAUAUGUGCAUCUAUGGUUUCAUGCAUGUGUGUUUAGAACCUAAAGCUGGUGUUAGGAUUUUCCUUAAUUUCAGGAAAUGAGCACCUUACUCAUAGAUGUAGGGUCUCUCAAUUAUACCCAGAACAUUGGGGGGUACAGAGGUUCUUGUACUCACAGAUAAGGACUAGGAGAACCAGAAAUGUUAAUCGUGCAGGGUGUUUCCUCAAUGGAGGAUUAAAAAUCAAAUACCUGCAUUCCGUCCAGAAAUCUGAGAGUGGAGUUUGUUAACGACCUGCUGACCUUUUUGCUAUUUGUUGAGGCAGACCUCACCCAAAUUCCCCAGAAUGAUUAUGCCAGACUCUUCCCUUCCUAGACCACUACUUAUCCUUUUGAGAGAUGUCACAUGUACUUUAUGGCCUUCUGACCUUUAUGUCAGAGGCCAUUCUAGGCCUUUAAGCUAUAGACCCUGACCUCAUGGUCACAUGGACUUUGUAAGAUUUCUGUGUGGUCACAACUAAGCUUUACUGUGCACCCAUAAUUAGACUGAUGGUUGAUCCUUUUGCUUAAGUUUCAAUACUGCAUAGGAAGCAUGUUACUUUUUGUAUUUCCAGAAAGGAGGUAAAUACACAUAAAGAUGAACAGUCCAUCUAGACCACAGUUCUCAGCCUUCCUAAUGCUGCAACCCUUUAAUACAGUUCCUCAUGGUGUGGUGACCCCAACCACAACAUUAUUUUGUUGCUACUUCAUAACUGUAUUUUGCUUUUGCAAUGAAUCAUAACAUUAGUAUCUAUGUUUUCCAAUGGUCUUCAGGGGCUGCGACCUACAGGUUAAGAACAGCUAAUGCCUGUAAAAAGGCACUUAAUAUUUUCCCUCCCUCACCCCACCUCCCCCCCCCCCUCUCUCUCUCUCUCAAUUUUUAAUUUAUUUUUUGAGACAAAGUCUUUCUAUGUAGUUCUGGAACUCGCUAUGGAGACCAUACUGGCCUUCAACUCAGAGAGCCUCCUGCCUCUGUGCUGGAUUUAAGAAUGUAUACUACUUCAUGU
Rattus norvegicus (Norway rat) is the source of this 2208-nucleotide non-coding RNA. The record is from RefSeq and is a predicted model, not a curated record. Lineage: Eukaryota; Metazoa; Chordata; Mammalia; Rodentia; Muridae.